CAGCACCUCAAGUGGUCAGGAUGAUUAUUGGGCCUAAAGCAUCCGUAGCCGGCGCUGUAAGUUUUCGGUUAAAUCUUUACGCUCAACGUACAGGCUGCCGGGAAUACUGCAGCGCUAGGGAGUGGGAGAGGUAGACGGUACUCGGUAGGAAGGGGUAAAAUCCUUUGAUCUAUUGAUGACCACCUGUGGCGAAGGCGGUCUACCAGAACACGUCCGACGGUGAGGGAUGAAAGCUGGGGGAGCAAACCGGAUUAGAUACCCGAGUAGUCC
Molecule: ribosomal RNA, 270 nt
Filed under: uncultured archaeon
Lineage: Archaea
Description: partial 16S ribosomal RNA
Rfam family: Archaeal small subunit ribosomal RNA
Source: RNAcentral